RNAcentral lists this ribosomal RNA (117 nucleotides) under Geminocystis sp. Lineage: Bacteria; Bacillati; Cyanobacteriota; Cyanophyceae; Chroococcales; Geminocystaceae. The record is from RNAcentral.
GCGGGUGUGUGAAGCGCCCCGGCCCCACUCCGACCCAUCCCGAACUCGGCAGUGAAACGGGGCGGCGGUGACGAUACUAUGGGGGCAACCCCAUGGGACAAUAGCUCCAUGCCCGCU